GAUGAACGCUGGCGGCGUGCUUAACACAUGCAAGUCGAACGGAAAGGCCCAAGCUUGCUUGGGUGCUCGAGUGGCGAACGGGUGAGUAACACGUGGGUGGUCUGCCCUGCACUUUGGGAUAAGCCUGGGAAACUGGGUCUAAUACCGGAUAGGACCAUCGUUUAGUGUCGGUGGUGGAAAGUUUUUCGGUGUGGGAUGAGCUCGCGGCCUAUCAGCUUGUUGGUGGGGUAAUGGCCUACCAAGGCGUCGACGGGUAGCCGGCCUGAGAGGGUGUACGGCCACAUUGGGACUGAGAGACGGCCCAGACUCCUACGGGAGGCAGCAGGGGGGAAUAUUGCACAAGGGGCGCAAGCCGGAUGCAGCGACGCCGCGGGGGGGAGGACGGCCUUCGGGUUGGAAACGCCUUUCGCCAAGGACGAAGCGUUUUGUGACGGUACUUGGAGAAGAAGCACCGGCUAACUACGUG
This 466-nucleotide ribosomal RNA is filed under the name uncultured bacterium. RNAcentral describes it as "partial 16S ribosomal RNA". It matches the Rfam family "Bacterial small subunit ribosomal RNA", at positions 28 to 507 of the family's 1533-position model. The record is from RNAcentral.